UACGUAUGGAGCAAGCGUUAUCCGGAUUUACUGGGUGUAAAGGGAGCGUAGGCGGCCUGGCAAGUCUGGUGUGAAAACCCGCGGCCCAACCGCGGGAGUGCAUUGGAAACUGCCAGGCUGGAGUGCCGGAGGGGCGAGGCGGAAUUCCUAGUGUAGCGGUGAAAUGCGUAGAUAUUAGGAGGAACACCGGUGGCGAAGGCGGCCUGCUGGACGGCAACUGACGCUGAGGCUCGAAAGCGUGGGGAGCAAACAGGAUUAGAAACCCCGUGUAGU
RNAcentral lists this ribosomal RNA (273 nucleotides) under uncultured bacterium. Its description in RNAcentral is "partial 16S ribosomal RNA". It matches the Rfam family "Bacterial small subunit ribosomal RNA", at positions 524 to 794 of the family's 1533-position model. The record is from RNAcentral.